AACUUCUGAAUGUUGACCUCGGAUCAGGUAGGAAUACCCGCUGAACUUAAGCAUAUCAAUAAGCGGAGG
Molecule: ribosomal RNA, 69 nt
Filed under: Fusarium oxysporum
Lineage: Eukaryota; Fungi; Ascomycota; Sordariomycetes; Hypocreales; Nectriaceae
Also listed under: 1 other name
Description: partial 28S ribosomal RNA
Rfam family: Eukaryotic large subunit ribosomal RNA (bases 14-69)
Source: RNAcentral